GAUGAACGCUAGCGGCAGGCUUAACACAUGCAAGUCGAGCGGGGUUUUCGGACCUAGCGGCGGACGGGUGAGUAAUGCGUAGGAAGCUGCCCGAUAGAGGGGGAUACCAGUUGGAAACGACUGUUAAUACCGCAUAAUGUCUACGGACCAAAGUGUGGGACCUUCGGGCCACAUGCUAUCGGAUGCGCCUACGUGGGAUU
RNAcentral lists this ribosomal RNA (200 nucleotides) under uncultured bacterium. Its description in RNAcentral is "partial 16S ribosomal RNA". It matches the Rfam family "Bacterial small subunit ribosomal RNA", at positions 28 to 242 of the family's 1533-position model. The record is from RNAcentral.